This 305-nucleotide ribosomal RNA is filed under the name uncultured bacterium. Its description in RNAcentral is "bacterial SSU rRNA". It matches the Rfam family "Bacterial small subunit ribosomal RNA", at positions 333 to 655 of the family's 1533-position model. The record is from RNAcentral.
GUUCACCUCGGGAGGCAGCAGUGGGGAAUAUUGCACAAUGGGGGAAACCCUGAUGCAGCGACGCCGCGUGAGUGAAGAAGUAUUUCGGUAUGUAAGGCUCUAUCAGCAGGAACGAGACAAGACGGUACCUGACUAAGAAGCCCCGGCUAACUACGUGCCAGCAGCCGCGGUAAUACGUAGGGGGCAAGCGUUAUCCGGAAUCACUGGGUGUAAAGGGAGCGUAGACGGCCGUGCAAGCCUGAAGUGAAAGGCGGGGGCCCAACCCCUGGACUGCUUUGGGAACUGUACGGCUGGAGUGCAGGAGG